GCAAAGUACGGGGCAUAGAUUUUCAUUAUGGGGAAACGCUGGAUAGGAUACUGUCGACAUUGCCAUUUUUGUACGUCUGGAGAUGUGAAACGUCACCCCUGAUGGAGUGAAUGAACGUGCGUCCACAUCCAAUGCUCGUACCUCGGAGACUCGUUUGCACGAUAUCAGGCAGAAAAGCAUUGCCAGUUUUGCUGAUAGUUGUUUCAGUGUAAGAUCUGAGUUUCGUGGCCACUGUUCCAGUAGGUUCAGGACUAAAUUCACAUCCCACGUGGAUGUAUAUGGAGGUCGUGGUGGCCUUGCAAAACGAACACCUCGUAGGAGUCUGCAUACCAUUGUGUGUCUCCCUAUCGGUGCACCGUCCAGUCCAUGAUGUCCUGCUGAAAUCGCUGACCUAUA
This is a non-coding RNA of Pelobates cultripes (western spadefoot toad), 396 nucleotides long. Lineage: Eukaryota; Metazoa; Chordata; Amphibia; Anura; Pelobatidae. The record is from the annotation of a GenBank genome assembly.